UACAGAGACUGCAAGCGUUAUUCGGAUUCACUGGGCGUAAAGGGUGCGCAGGCGGCCGGGUGUGUCAGAUGUGAAAUCCCGAGGCUCAACCUCGGAACUGCGUCUGAAACUACUUGGCUAGAGUAUUGGAGAGGGUAACGGAAUUCACGGUGUAGCAGUGAAAUGCGUAGAUAUCGUGAGGAACACCAGAGGCGAAGGCGGUUACCUGGACAAUUACUGACGCUCAGGCACGAAAGCGUGGGGAGCAAAAGGG
RNAcentral lists this ribosomal RNA (253 nucleotides) under uncultured bacterium. RNAcentral's name for it is "partial 16S ribosomal RNA". It matches the Rfam family "Bacterial small subunit ribosomal RNA", at positions 524 to 776 of the family's 1533-position model. The record is from RNAcentral.